CCUACGGGAGGCAGCAGUGAGGAAUAUUGGUCAAUGGCCGGAAGGCUGAACCAGCCAAGCCGCGUGAAGGACGAAGGUGCCAAGCAUUGUAAACUUCUUUUGUCAAGGGACAAAAUCAGGCUCGAGAGCCUGACCGAGGGUACUUGACGAAACAGCAUCAGCUAACUCCGUGCCAGCAGCCGCGGUAAUACGUAGGGGGCAAGCGUUAUCCGGAUUUACUGGGUGUAAAGGGAGCGUAGACGGUUCUGUAAGUCUGGAGUGAAAGCCCGGGGCCCAACCCCGGGACUGCUUUGGAAACUGUGGAACUGGAGUACAGGAGGGGCAGGCGGAAGUCCUGGUGUAGCGGUGAAAUGCGUAGAUAUCAGGAGGAACACCGGCGGCGAAGGCGGCCUGCUGGACUGAAACUGACGUUGAGGCUCGAAAGCGUGGGGAGCAAACAGGAUUAGAUACCCGUGUAGUC
RNAcentral lists this ribosomal RNA (460 nucleotides) under uncultured bacterium. RNAcentral's name for it is "partial 16S ribosomal RNA". It matches the Rfam family "Bacterial small subunit ribosomal RNA", at positions 338 to 795 of the family's 1533-position model. The record is from RNAcentral.